UGCAAAAUAAAGAUAAGAGAAUCAAUGUUCCCAGUACUCUAUAUGUGAACAUGUGUAAAGAGAAAUGGGAUACUAGUAACCACAAGAGAUAAAUCAGUAGGUUAGCCAAAACCAAAUAAAAAAUAAACAGAAUUUAUGCUAUUAUAUAAAGUCAAGCCUUUUUCACACAGCCUGCAUAUUGCCAAGAUAGACAUGAUACAUCUUCACAUGCUUAAGUCAAAUUCAAAAGGUAAUACAAAUAGUGCAUGGAAUUUGGCAUAAAAGUCACCAUUUUCAUACAAGAAUUACCUACGAUUCCUCUUUUAAAUGGUGAAAGAAAAUUAUUUCUACUAGCAGGCACAAUAGCAUGUAAAACAAUUAAAGCAGAAAAAGGAAAAAGAAUAGGUAUGAAGUUUUUUUUUUAAUGUUCCACUCACUCUAGUAUACUCCUGCCCAAACUGGGUAUUGGCUUCCUUUGUCUUACAUAGGACAACAAUGAAUGAAACUUCUCACCAAGGUCUGUUUAGGCAUUUCUAGAGAGAGGCCUCAAUUUUUGCCAUUUCCCAGGGGCACCUAGUGGGAUGAAAUAUGGAUCUGGAGUUCAGUUCAAGGCACCAUCUGAAUGGUGGAGAAUAUGCUUAUUUUCGGACAAAAUUAAUGCUUGCACCAUGAAACACUUUAACCUGAAAUUCUAAAUUUGAACCCUUAGUUUUAUACAAUUUUGAAGGCAUGAUUAAUAGGGGUGAAACAGACACUUUCAUUCCACAAACUCUUUGAGAAAUAAAAACAAGCUGCAUUCUCCAUAGAAAACGGGCAAUGCUUAUUCUAAUGCUAAAUUUUCCAAAACUAAGUGAGCUUGUCCCAAAAUAAAUUUGGAACUAGCAGAGAUGUGCUUUAAGAAGCUGAUGUAUUGGGUUUCAGAGAUGUUGAAACUAAAUAUUAGAUGUGAAGUGAACCUUCUCUUUUAUGCUCUCUUUCUUCUCUCAGACUUGAACAGUAUGACCUGAAUGCAAUUUAUAAGACACUAGGGGUGUCUUGGGGAGCAACAAAAGAAAAUAAAAGCUUCUACAGCCCACUAGUCUGAUCUCUAACCAUCUAGUGGACACAUAUUUCCAAUCUCCACUUCCCAUAUCUUGCAAUUAUAAACCACAGUAAGUCAAGCAACUUUGGAACUGUUUCGUCCCAAUCAAAACAAAUAGAAGGAUGAGAAAUUCCAAAAUAUAUUGAUUUCGACAUGCCAAUCCUACAAUAUACUUUAGUUGCAGUUAUUUUUCACUUCACUCAGAAAGCAGGCCUUGUACACUGAAAACUCUGUUCUAGUGGUCAUUAAGUUUGCUUUCAAACAGACUAAACUUCUUAGAUUUGUCUAUAGCCUUUAGGAAAGGUGUAAGAUACUGCAUUAUACAUCUCAUAUCCCACUUUGUGUCGUAUAAAGGUUUAUCUUCCUCUUUAUGAGCCUUUACUACUAACAUUUCUUGUGUUAAGAUUCUAAGGUC
This 1475-nucleotide long non-coding RNA is filed under the name Vitis vinifera (wine grape). Its description in RNAcentral is "long non-coding RNA (VVIN_LNC000836)". The record is from RNAcentral. Lineage: Eukaryota; Viridiplantae; Streptophyta; Magnoliopsida; Vitales; Vitaceae.